Molecule: ribosomal RNA, 5471 nt
Filed under: Salmonella enterica subsp. enterica serovar Typhimurium str. DT104
Lineage: Bacteria; Pseudomonadati; Pseudomonadota; Gammaproteobacteria; Enterobacterales; Enterobacteriaceae
Description: 23S ribosomal RNA
Rfam family: Bacterial large subunit ribosomal RNA (bases 4055-5471)
Source: RNAcentral
UUUCGCGCCGAAGGCUCGCGCACGAAUACCACCUGGCUGGGAGAAGAAGCCGCACGUAAUACCCGCAUCCUGGAACGACAGCCACGCGUAGUCAGCCAUGAACAACAGAUGCGCUUUAGUCAGUAAGAUCAUUGCGUUUUCCUGCGUCGAUGGGCCAGGCAGCCGCCUGGCAUUAUUCUUACAGGGCUGCAAUUUGCGCUGCAAGAAUUGCCAUAACCCGUGGACGAUGGGACGCUGUAACGACUGCGGGGAAUGCGUAUCGCAGUGUCCGCACCACGCCCUCAGCAUUGAUGGCGGGAAAGUGGUAUGGCGGUCGGACGUCUGCGAGCAGUGCGAUACCUGCCUGAAAAUGUGCCCACAGCAGGCAACGCCAAUGGCGCAGACCAUGAGCGUUGACGAUGUGCUGCGUCAUAUUCGUAAAGCAUCGCUGUUUAUUGAAGGUAUUACCGUCAGCGGCGGAGAGGCGACCACGCAAUUACCGUUUAUUGUGGCGCUAUUUACGGCGAUCAAAGCCGAUCCGCAGUUACAACGGCUGACCUGUCUGGUGGACAGUAAUGGUCAGUUAAGCGAGACCGGCUGGCAAAAACUACUGCCGGUUUGCGACGGCGUAAUGCUCGAUCUGAAAGCCUGGAAGAGCGAGUGUCAUCACCGUCUGACCGGACGUGAUAACACGCAUAUUAAGCACAGUAUCCGCUUUCUUGCUGCGCGGGGAAAACUGGCGGAGCUGCGGUUGCUGGUUAUCCCGGGUCAGGUGGACUAUGCGGCGCAUAUCGAUUCACUGGCGGCGUUUAUUACUUCGCUGGGCGAGGUUCCGGUGCGUUUGAAUGCCUUUCAUGCGCACGGUGUCUAUGGCGAAGCGAAAGCCUGGCCAGGCGCGACGCCGCAAGAGGUGGAACGGCUGGCUGACGGAUUGCGCGCGCGUGGGGUGGCGAAGCUGAUUUUGCCGGCGCUAUAUUUGUAAGCGUCGCCUGCCGGACGGCGGCUGCGAUGCCAUCAGAGCCGAAACAAGGUAAUGGUAUUGCGAUACAGCGUAUCGGCUAUCACCUCUGCGGGCUCCGGACGUAAUUCGCAGAGCGCAUCAAAUACGCGCGCCGCCUGCUCCGGGCGGUUCGGCUGCCCCUGAAACCCCUUUAGCGGCAUAUCCGGCGCAUCGGUCUCCAGCAACAGCGCGUCCAGCGGCAAGCGCGCCAUAACAUCACGGGUUUUACUGGCGCGCGGGUAGGUGAUGGUGCCGCCGACGCCGAUUUUAUAGCCCAGUCGCACAAAGCGUUCGGCCUGCUGCAGACUGCCGGCAAAACCAUGCACCACACCGGUUCGCGGCAGAUCCUGGCGCUUUAAGUGCAUCGCCAGUUUGUCAUGCGUGCGCCGCGAGUGCAGGAUCACCGGCAGAUCGUAGCGUUUUGCCAGUUGCAGUUGCGCGUCUAAAAAUCGCUCUUGCCUGGCGAACUGCGGGUCGUCGCGAUAAAGAUCGAGCCCGAUCUCGCCUACCGCCACGACGUUCUGUUGCUGCGCCAGCGCUUGUUGCAGCUUAUCAGAAUCGUCAUCGGCAUGACGCUCAAUCACAAUGGGGUGCAAUCCCAGCGCAGCAUAAAGCGACGGGAAACGCGCCGCCAGCGCCAGCACGCGGGGAAAGUGCGCCGCCUCGGUCGCCGGCACGAUGAUUUUUUCAACGCCCGCCUCACAGGCACGCUGAAUACUGGCGCGCUCAUCGCCCGUAAAGGGCGGGAAAUCAAAAUGGCAGUGUGUAUCGAUAAAGCGCCAGCUCACGCCAGAUCCUCGUCGGUAAAUGUGGUGUCGUUUGCCUGCGGCGCGCUAAUGACCUCCGCCACAUGCGUAUCAUUGGCCACCGGCGCCGGAGGCACGACCACCGUUUCCGGCACGGCAAUCCGCGACGUAUGGCGCAAGAGAGGCGGCGUUGCGGCGAGCAAUUUACCAACGGUGGCAAGGAAAUAACGCCCGCAUAAUCGCCCGGUUUUGUAAUCCUCACGCAGCGCCGGGAUACGGCUGCCCAGCGCCAUGCUGUGCAGCGGUUUCGGCGGAUAAAUUUCAAUGAUCCGCAGCUUACCCGGCGGCUUUUCAAUAAAUUGUUGGAUCGCGCUGUAGGACGUUUCAUGAUGCUGCACCAGGUUGACCAACGGCUGUAGACUGCUCUCUCCCAGCCAGCGCUCCAUACGCUUAAACCACUGCGGCGUGUAAUACAUUUGCGAGGGUACGGUGCGGAUCACCACAAUGGUUUUCGCCCCCCGCUUUGCCGCCUCCUGAACCGGAAUGGCGUCGCUAAUGCCACCGUCCAGAUAGUUGAUGCCCUCUAACGUAACGCCGGUACGGUAGAAACCCGGUAUGGCGCUGGAGGCGCGAAUGAUAUCAAGCCAGUUUUGUUUUGUCGGCGAGAAAUAGCCCGGCGUGUAAUCAUCCCCCCGGCAGGCGCACAUAUAAAAGGAUUUUCCGCUGUCGAACAGGCGCGCUGCGGUAUCCAUCUGCAGCGGCAUCCGGGCGGCGGUGGAUUCCACCAGCCAGUCGAGGUCAAUAAGGUUUCCUCCGCGUACAAAUCGCAGCGGAUCAAAAAAUUCGCGCCUGGUGGUAUAGCGCAUAAUGACUUUGCGCCCGUAGCCGGGCUGGUUGCAGAGAUACGCCGAGAGAUUUUGCGCACCGGCUGAUGUGCCGAAGUAGAGAUGGAAAGGAUUAAACUGCGCAUGCAUAAACUCAUCCAGCACGCCUGCGGUAAAGAUGCCCCGCUGCCCCCCGCCCUCACAGACCAGCGCCAUACGGCCUGGCCGGAACGGUGUUAAUGAUAACGGCGCAAUAUUGCCGAGCGUAACCGGUAUUCGCUGGCCCACCUCUGCCUUCCUGUUUUUCAUUUUUUUCCAGGCUGACAAGGUAACGCAAAACGUUAACGGCUAAAACCGUAAAAGCCAGUCCGCUGGACUGGCUUGAUAGCAAUAUAUCUUUACAGAUGCCUGCUAGGGUCGUUUACGGCCCAUGAACAGGCUGACCAGGAAGAGCACGAUCCCGACGACGAAGACGAUUUUCGCCGCGCCGGCAGCCGUACCAGCCAGUCCACCAAAACCCAAUGCGGCGGCAAUUAACGCGAUAACCAGAAAUAUAAUGCCCCAACGAAACAUAAGCCUCUCCUUUACCAUAGUUAAUGUCGACCGCUAAAUAUGAGCGCUCAGGCUACUCAUUCGCGAUAUUUUUAGUGUGGUGCACAUUACGCCUCCCGACAAACGUCGGGAGGACGAAUUACGACGAAUUACUGAACUUUCAGAUCGUUUUUAACACUUUUUACGCCAUCAACGGCUUUCGCGAUGCUUUCAGCGCGGUCGCUUUGUUCCUGAGUUUCAACGGUACCGGAGAGCUGUACGACGCCAUCGGUCGUUUCCACUUUCACUUUACGGGAAGGGACGAGAUCGUCCGCCAGCAACUUGGCUUUGACUUCACUGGUCGUGGCCGUAUCGCCGGCAUAACCUUUCACGGAACCUUCUUUAUUGUCGCGAACGUGAAGUUUGUCGCUAACGGAGGUCACGCCUUCUACGCCUUUCGCCACUUUCACGGCGGCUUCAGCCUGCGCCUGGCUUUCUACAAAGCCGCUCAGGGUGACAACUUUCUGAUUGGUUUCGACAGAAAUAUCGGUGCUUUUAAUAUUGUCAUGGUCUACCAGCGCAGCUUUUACUUUCGCAGUGAUGGCGCUGUCAUCCAUGAAGUUACCGACUUUAUUCAUAGAGCUAUCGACUUUUUGCCCUGCGGUUUCGGUUCCGCUUUGCGCCUUGUCCGUUGUUGCGUUUUCUGCAAAGGCAGAACCUGUCGCAACAGCAGAGGUCAACAUUACGGCCAGCAGAGUUUUAGAAAUCUUCAGUCUUGUCAUAGUCAUCGAUUUUGUCCUGUAUAGUUUGCUCGUAAUUUGAGCUCAGGCAACACGAGGUUGCAUUGCUGAAUGCGGUGAAACUCACCGGUUUCUGAAGUCAAUGACUGGCAUCACAUUCGUGAAUUUGUAACGACGCGUCGCCUGCCACCCUUCCGUUUCAGUUAUUAAUAUCGUGACUGAAACAAAUCUCAGCUUUAAGCUCUCAUAUUCACGCAUUGAACAGGCAUUAAAGCCGACAUUUAUGUCAUCACUUUGUUAAAUAUAGAUCACAAUUUUAAAAUCGCUUGUCGGUGCGUAUAAAAAACAGGCAGAUCGGAGAAAAAACGCGGGAUUUAAGAACAUUCCGUAAGCGGUUAAAAAGGCAGGGAAAGUACGAAGGCGCGGCGGAUGCCGCGCCCGGAAAGGGAUCAGUGUUCGCGCGUUUUACGGAACUGAACGUCAGGGUAACGUUCCUGGGUCAGGUUCAGGUUAACCAUCGUGGGGGCGAUAUAGGUAAGGUUGUCGCCGCCAUCCAGCGCCAGCUGCGUUUCAUUCUUACGCUUAAACUCUUCGAAUUUCUUCGCAUCGGCGCUUNNAAGCGAAGCUCCUGAUCGAAGCCCCGGUAAACGGCGGCCGUAACUAUAACGGUCCUAAGGUAGCGAAAUUCCUUGUCGGGUAAGUUCCGACCUGCACGAAUGGCGUAAUGAUGGCCAGGCUGUCUCCACCCGAGACUCAGUGAAAUUGAACUCGCUGUGAAGAUGCAGUGUACCCGCGGCAAGACGGAAAGACCCCGUGAACCUUUACUAUAGCUUGACACUGAACAUUGAGCCUUGAUGUGUAGGAUAGGUGGGAGGCUUUGAAGUGUGGACGCCAGUCUGCAUGGAGCCGACCUUGAAAUACCACCCUUUAAUGUUUGAUGUUCUAACGUGGACCCGUAAUCCGGGUUGCGGACAGUGUCUGGUGGGUAGUUUGACUGGGGCGGUCUCCUCCUAAAGAGUAACGGAGGAGCACGAAGGUUGGCUAAUCCUGGUCGGACAUCAGGAGGUUAGUGCAAUGGCAUAAGCCAGCUUGACUGCGAGCGUGACGGCGCGAGCAGGUGCGAAAGCAGGUCAUAGUGAUCCGGUGGUUCUGAAUGGAAGGGCCAUCGCUCAACGGAUAAAAGGUACUCCGGGGAUAACAGGCUGAUACCGCCCAAGAGUUCAUAUCGACGGCGGUGUUUGGCACCUCGAUGUCGGCUCAUCACAUCCUGGGGCUGAAGUAGGUCCCAAGGGUAUGGCUGUUCGCCAUUUAAAGUGGUACGCGAGCUGGGUUUAGAACGUCGUGAGACAGUUCGGUCCCUAUCUGCCGUGGGCGCUGGAGAACUGAGGGGGGCUGCUCCUAGUACGAGAGGACCGGAGUGGACGCAUCACUGGUGUUCGGGUUGUCAUGCCAAUGGCACUGCCCGGUAGCUAAAUGCGGAAGAGAUAAGUGCUGAAAGCAUCUAAGCACGAAACUUGCCCCGAGAUGAGUUCUCCCUGAGACUUAGAGUCUCCUGAAGGAACGUUGAAGACGACGACGUUGAUAGGCCGGGUGUGUAAGCGCAGCGAUGCGUUGAGCUAACCGGUACUAAUGAACCGUGAGGCUUAACCUU